RNAcentral lists this long non-coding RNA (265 nucleotides) under Lathyrus oleraceus (garden pea). Its description in RNAcentral is "Pisum sativum (pea) long non-coding RNA (PSAT_LNC008076)". Lineage: Eukaryota; Viridiplantae; Streptophyta; Magnoliopsida; Fabales; Fabaceae. The record is from RNAcentral.
AGACUGGUUUUUGGUCAAAGUUAGGGGUGUAGUAGAUUGGUCUUGAGAUGAUUGGAAUGUCAAUUUGGUCAAAGUUAUGGUUGUAGUAGAUUGGUCUUGAGAUGAUUGGAAUGUCAAUCCAUCCUCUUGUUUCUUGUAAUUUUCUGUUUCGUGGAUUUCAUUAUGUGUUCCAGAUGUUUCUCUUGUUCGGAUUGAGCACUCCUGAUACUCAAUUUUAAUUCAUAUAUAUUUUUUACUUAUAAAAUAAGAGAGGAUACAUUUCAAA